This 501-nucleotide ribosomal RNA is filed under the name uncultured bacterium. Its description in RNAcentral is "partial 16S ribosomal RNA". It matches the Rfam family "Bacterial small subunit ribosomal RNA", at positions 30 to 523 of the family's 1533-position model. The record is from RNAcentral.
AUUGAACGCUGGCGGCAGGCUUAACACAUGCAAGUCGAGCGGAGAUGAGGUGCUUGCACCUUAUCUUAGCGGCGGACGGGUGAGUAAUGCUUAGGAAUCUGCCUAUUAGUGGGGGACAACAUUCCGAAAGGAAUGCUAAUACCGCAUACGUCCUACGGGAGAAAGCAGGGGAUCUUCGGACCUUGCACUAAUAGGUGAGCCAAAGUCGGAUUAGCUAGUUGGUGGGGUAAAGGCCUACCAAGGCGACGAUCUGUAGCGGGUCUGAGAGGAUGAUCCGCAACACUGGGACUGGGACACGGCCCAGACUCCUACGGGAGGCAGCAGUGGGGAAUAUUGGACAAUGGGGGAAACCCUGAUCCAGCCAUGCCGCGUGUGUGAAGAAGGCCUUAUGGUUGUAAAGCACUUUAAGCGAGGAGGAGGCUACUGAGACUAAUACUCUUGGAUAGUGGACGUUACUCGCAGAAUAAGCACCGGCUAACUCUGUGCCAGCAGCCGCCGUAA